GACGAACGCUGGCGGCGUGCUUAACACAUGCAAGUCGAACGGAAAGGCCCUGCUUUUGUGGGGUGCUCGAGUGGCGAACGGGUGAGUAACACGUGAGUAACCUGCCCUUGACUUUGGGAUAACUUCAGGAAACUGGGGCUAAUACCGGAUAGGAGCUCCUGCUGCAUGGUGGGGGUUGGAAAGUUUCGGCGGUUGGGGACGGACUCGCGGCUUAUCAGCUUGUUGGUGGGGUAGUGGCUUACCAAGGCUUUGACGGGUAGCCGGCCUGAGAGGGUGACCGGCCACAUUGGGACUGAGAUACGGCCCAGACUCCUACGGGAGGCAGCAGUGGGGAAUAUUGCACAAUGGGCGGAAGCCUGAUGCAGCAACGCCGCGUGCGGGAUGACGGCCUUCGGGUUGUAAACCGCUUUCGCCUGUGACGAAGCGUGAGUGACGGUAAUGGGUAAAGAAGCACCGGCUAACUACGUGCCAGCAGCCGCGGUGAUACGUAGGGUGCGAGCGUUGUCCGGAUUUAUUGGGCGUAAAGGGCUCGUAGGUGGUUGAUCGCGUCGGAAGUGUAAUCUUGGGGCUUAACCCUGAGCGUGCUUUCGAUACGGGUUGACUUGAGGAAGGUAGGGGAGAAUGGAAUUCCUGGUGGAGCGGUGGAAUGCGCAGAUAUCAGGAGGAACACCAGUGGCGAAGGCGGUUCUCUGGGCCUUUCCUGACGCUGAGGAGCGAAAGCGUGGGGAGCGAACAGGCUUAGAUACCCUGGUAGUCCACGCUGUAAACGGUGGGUACUAGGUGUGGGGUCCAUUCCACGGGUUCCGUGCCGUAGCUAACGCUUUAAGUACCCCGCCUGGGGAGUACGGCCGCAAGGCUAAAACUCAAAGGAAUUGACGGGGCCCCGCACAAGCGGCGGAGCAUGCGGAUUAAUUCGAUGCAACGCGUAGAACCUUACCUGGGUUUGACAUGGAUCGGGAGCGCUCAGAGAUGGGUGUGCCUCUUUUGGGGUCGGUUCACAGGUGGUGCAUGGCUGUCGUCAGCUCGUGUCGUGAGAUGUUGGGUUAAGUCCCGCAACGAGCGCAACCCUUGUUCACUGUUGCCAGCACGUUAUGGUGGGGACUCAGUGGAGACCGCCGGGGUCAACUCGGAGGAAGGUGGGGAUGACGUCAAGUCAUCAUGCCCCUUAUGUCCAGGGCUUCACGCAUGCUACAAUGGCUGGUACAGAGAGUGGCGAGCCUGUGAGGGUGAGCGAAUCUCGGAAAGCCGGUCUCAGUUCGGAUUGGGGUCUGCAACUCGACCUCAUGAAGUCGGAGUCGCUAGUAAUCGCAGAUCAGCAACGCUGCGGUGAAUACGUUCCCGGG
Molecule: ribosomal RNA, 1343 nt
Filed under: uncultured bacterium
Lineage: Bacteria
Description: 16S ribosomal RNA
Rfam family: Bacterial small subunit ribosomal RNA
Source: RNAcentral